RNAcentral lists this ribosomal RNA (1036 nucleotides) under human gut metagenome. RNAcentral's name for it is "bacterial SSU rRNA". It matches the Rfam family "Bacterial small subunit ribosomal RNA", at positions 44 to 1069 of the family's 1533-position model. The record is from RNAcentral.
AGGCUUAACACAUGCAAGUCGAGGGGCAGCGGGGGAUAAGCUUGCUUUUCCUGCCGGCGACCGGCGCACGGGUGAGUAACACGUAUGCAACCUGCCCCUGUCAGAGGGAUAAUCCGGAGAAAUCCGGUCUAAUAUCGCAUAAAGCGUUUGCGGGGCAUCCUGCGAGCGCCAAAGGAGUAAUCCGGACAGGGAUGGGCAUGCGGCGCAUUAGCUAGUUGGGGGGGUAACGGCCCACCAAGGCGACGAUGCGUAGGGGUUCUGAGAGGAAGGUCCCCCACAUUGGUACUGAGACACGGACCAAACUCCUACGGGAGGCAGCAGUGAGGAAUAUUGGUCAAUGGGCGGAAGCCUGAACCAGCCAAGUCGCGUGAGGGAAGACGGCCCUAAGGGUUGUAAACCUCUUUUGCCGGGGAGCAAAAGCGCCGUGCGCGGUGCUAUGAGAGUACCCGGAGAAAAAGCAUCGGCUAACUCCGUGCCAGCAGCCGCGGUAAUACGGAGGAUGCGAGCGUUAUCCGGAUUUAUUGGGUUUAAAGGGUGCGUAGGCGGACAGUUAAGUCAGCGGUCAAAACGGGCGGCUCAACCGCCUGCCGCCGUUGAAACUGGCAGUCUAGAGUGGGCGAGAAGUACGCGGAAUGCGCGGUGUAGCGGUGAAAUGCAUAGAUAUUGCGCAGAACUCCGAUUGCGAAGGCAGCGUACCGGCGCCCGACUGACGCUGAGGCACGAAAGCGUGGGGAUCGAACAGGAUUAGAUACCCUGGUAGUCCACGCAGUAAACGAUGGACACUAUCUGUUCGGGUCGAGAGAGAUCUGAGUGGCACAGCGAAAGCGUUAAGUGUCCCACCUGGGGAGUACGCCGGCAACGGUGAAACUCAAAGGAAUUGACGGGGGCCCGCACAAGCGGAGGAACAUGUGGUUUAAUUCGAUGAUACGCGAGGAACCUUACCCGGGCUCAAACGCACGACGGCGGCACGUGAAAGCGUGCUUACCUACGGGACGUUGUGCGAGGUGCUGCAUGGUUGUCGUCAGCUCGUGCCGUG